UACGGAGGGUGCAAGCGUUAAUCGGAAUUACUGGGCGUAAAGCGCGCGUAGGCGGUUUGUUAAGCGAGAUGUGAAAGCCCCGGGCUCAACCUGGGAACUGCAUUUCGAACUGGCAGGCUAGAGUACAAGAGAGGGUGGUAGAAUUUCCUGUGUAGCGGUGAAAUGCGUAGAUAUAGGAAGGAAUACCAGUGGCGAAGGCGGCCACCUGGCUUGAUACUGACGCUGAGGUGCGAAAGCGUGGGGAGCGAACAGG
RNAcentral lists this ribosomal RNA (253 nucleotides) under uncultured prokaryote. Its description in RNAcentral is "partial 16S ribosomal RNA". It matches the Rfam family "Bacterial small subunit ribosomal RNA", at positions 524 to 776 of the family's 1533-position model. The record is from RNAcentral.